GAAACUCAUGUCUGUAAUGAAAGCCGGAGCCUAAAGACAGUCAAAUUAGAAAUUAAUUGCCACAUACAGAGCAACAAGUGUUUUGGUUGAACAUUUACAGGUCUGAUUGUACUAUCUAGUUCAGUUUCCUUUAUCUCUACAUAAUUAAAGUAUUUGAACAAGUACUUCAAAUUUGAAACAGUAAUAAGAAACCGAAAAUAUGAGCCUCAUGAAGCUGCAUUAGCUGCCCUUUGGUCGGAAUUCAAAGCCUUCAACACCGGGUCCAGUCUUAAGAUUCUCACUGUUUUCUGUCAUAGUGAUCUCCAAAUUCAUCUCCUCCCCUCCUCUGUUGAAGUAUUCUCCUAAUCUAACUUCAAACCUGUCAUCUUUUCUCUGUUGCGGAUAUUGGAGAUCAUCAUCCCCUUCUGACCUCAUCUUAUGCGGGUUCAAACAAGAAUUCGCCAGUUGGCAGCCCCUGUUCCAGCUGGUAAUAUAUCCUACCACCAUUUACCCCAGGUCCCCAGUUAGCAUGCUAAUUAGUCUUAUACAUGUAUAUCUUUGUCAUCUUUGCAGGAGCUUCUUCAGGAAACAUUACGAAUAUUGGAAUGUGGUACUAUGGAGGAUUGGUUGGAGCAGCUAACAAUAAUCAUAUCGGAACUUCUAGUUCUGCUCCCUUUGAUAAUUCUUACUCUAACCAGGCAUUUAAUAACGGCUGGCAGGAAAUCAGUAAUCUUUUCUUUGGUCACAACACUAAUGGUGGUCAGCUAAGUAAUGUAUGAUAAAUAUUCAAUUUCUAGCUAUACAUACUUUCAUAUUUUAUUAUUUUAAUGUUUAAUUCUCUUGCAUCGGACUUUUAUUUUAAAUGGUGUAGCUGGGAAUUAGAGGGUCGGAGUUUGUCACAUUUGCUGGAAUGAUAUAUAUGAUCUUUAUGUGUGUGCAGCAACUUGGUGUUGGUGUUGCACAAUUGACUGAUCAAAGCCUUUUCAUUGGUGCUGGUGCUGCACAAUUGACUGCUCAAAACCUUUUCAAUGGUGCGGGUACUGCACAAUUGACUGAUCAGAACCUUUUCACUGGUGUGGGUGCUGCACAACCGACUGAUCAAAACGUUUUCAGUGAACAGAACAUCAAUGGUGGUCAGGUAACUAAAGUAAGAUCAUAUACUUUCAAGUAUAUGUACUUUCAGACAUAUUAUUCUCUAUAAUUGGAGCAUUUUUUAAUUUUUAAACUUGGUCAGGUAACUAAAGUAUGAUCUAAAUUGUGUCCAUCAGGUCACUUACAUAGUUAUAACUUAUAAGCCUAUAUAUUCGGUUUUAAAGAAUUAUGCAUCCAGUGGUUUAAAUUAGAGUGUUGAAGUUUGUCACAUAUUGUUGUGCUGAUAUAAAUGAUGUUUAUGUGUGUGCAGCAACUUGUUGCUGGACAAAGUAGUGCUCAGAAAAGCUGGUUUGAUGACGAUGAAGCAUUCUUACCUGAUAACUUUCUGUUAGAUCUAUUCCCGGUAUGCAUACAUUCUACUCAUCAAUCUAGCUCCUCUCUCAUUUGACUGCUUUAGUUGAUGAGGAAACGAUGUCUUUUGAUUAUUAAUUUAGGGAGAAGAUGAAGAUCUCUUUUUGGGGGAUAUGAUGAACCUUGUUGCAGCUGAGGACAAUGAUGUUCGUGUAGCCGAUGCCAAGGAUGCUGAAAACUCUGGAGACCAUGACAAGGAUGAUGAGAAUUCCGGAGACAACAGGGAUGUUGGUCUAGCUGAUUACAAGGAUGCUGGAAACUCUGAAGCCACUGACAAGGAUGGUCAGAACUCCGGAAAUUGUUGAAUGGUGAUUGAUACCGUGCUAAGCUACACAUAUGAAAAAUCAACGUAAAACUGCAUUCCAAGCAUGGUGUACUAUUGGCCUAUUUGAAUUUGUUUGAUGAACAACCGUACUAUUUCUGGUUUUUAUUGGGUUGAAAUGGUACCUUAACCUUUUGAUAAGUUACUGAUGUUUUUGAGUUUUUCCCUUUAAAAUCUGUCUUGUUUGGGAAUCAAAUUUAUUAUUCGAAUUUCUCUAGUUUAUAUCUUUUAUCACCCAAAAGAACAAAUUUGUAUAUAUAUUAGUUUUGUUUUUGUGUGAACUACUUGCAUGAUUAUAAUUUUUUUCCAAGGUUCACAUAUCAUAAUUUUCGCUAGUAAUGUUCAAAUAAAAGAGUUGGAAGGAAUGGUCCAAAAUACCAUUUAUUAACGCAGUAUAAUCUAAUAAAAUAUUAUAUGAAAUAACGUUUAGGCUCUCAAACACUAAAUCGUGUAGUGUUAGGAAGGAAAAGAUAAUAAAUUCUACAUGUUAAAUAAGGUUCAAGACGGAUAUAUAACUUUUAUUCUUAAACAGAACGGGGUGUGAUUACGAGAGAGACAAGCGAAUGGGUGAUGAGAAACAUGAUUUAUUCUUCGAGAAAUUGCCUCAAGCAUUUAGACAAAAAUUCACACAAGAUGUAUUAUCACGCACAAGCCCAGCAGAUGUGGUAAGAAUUUCACUUGUGUCGAAAAGUUUCCGGUCGGCGGCCAAUUCUGAUGUUGUUUGGGACACAUUUAUUCCACCUCAUCAUCGAAAACUUGUUCUUGAUCGCCACUACAAUUACACCUUUGAAUCUAGCAAAGACGUCUGUCUCUUCCUCAGUGAUUUUGCCGCUGGGAGCAUUACUGACCCUCUGGUAAUCUUCUUGUUUUUUUUUGUUUAUGACAAUUUGAUUUCUUUUGGUGAUUUAGGUACUCCAAAAGAAUAUCAGAAGAGAGUUAGUUUUUUUUUGUGUAAGUGCUUGUUUGGUUAAGAAUUGGAAGUUAAUUCCAAUGUGAUGAAUCUCCUUAUAUCUCUGACAGAUUUUGGUGGGUAAGAUGAAAACACUCAUAGCAUAACUGGGCACGGACUCGGUAAUGCUUAUAAUUAACUCCUGUUUCCUGGAUUGUGAAAGCAUGUUAGGGCAACUCUAACCGUGAUCCAAAAAUCCAAAUUUGGGGCAGUUUUGUCCCAAACAACGCCAAACGUGGACUAAAAGUGAUACUAUAAAUUUGGACCAUCAUUCAUCGGUAUUCAGUCUUAAAAGAUACUAUAUAUUACAACCUAGAGUAUUUGGCAAUGUCAGAUAUAAUAAUUAAUAAGCUUCCUGGCCCUGCUUCCCUAAUCCCCAUUGUAUUGCACACCUGCAUUUAUACAGCAUGAUAAGAGUUUAUACUAAAGAUUACUAAGACAUGCUCACUUUUUGUCUGGAACCUGUCUAAGAGUUUGUCACAAACUUAAAACAGUAGAACAUAAUGCAAUAAGGCUAGCACUUGCUUGUACUUUCUAAUUAAUGCUGAGAAACCCUCAGCACACAUGAUGAAAAGGUAAGGAGACAGUUUAUUUGCCUAAAUCUUUAUGUAGACAGAAUUGGUCCUAGUUCCUUUCCUCCAUGUGCCAAUAUGUCCCAUGCUUGACACACACUGCCGUAUCGGCUCUACCAGGUCUGGUUAAACCCCAUCUAAAAUCCUAAUAACUGAUACUGCUUUGCUUUUCAUUGCCUAAAUCUUUUCGUAGGCACAAUUUGCCCCAGUUCCUUCCCUCCAUGCGCCACCAUAUAUUCCAUGCUUGACAAACACAAUGCUAUCGGGUCUCCCACUUCUUAUCAAACCCCAUCCAAAAUCCUAAUUAUACUGCAUUAAGAUAACUCCACUCCUCUCUGCUCUUUCAUAUGCUUUACUCCAUAAUCAUCUUUUCCUUAUUAUUUUACUUUCAAAUAGUAUGGCACCUCGAAAUAAUCUUUUUAAUGCACAAACAUCAGCCUAUAUUGAUAACCAUUUAUCUUCCAGCCAAUAUUCAUAACAAUAGUAUGACACUUGAUAUAUCCAUCGGCUACAUUUAUAAAUUGAGUUUAGUAGAUUCAAUCUGGUACCCGAAUGUUAUUGUGAAAUUAAUAUUCAAGAUGUCACGGUGCUUCCUAAAUCUUUUAAGACGUGUAAAGGUUGUCCCUGUGUCAUUACAUUUACUCCCAUAGUGGCAAAAUUCUGAAAGAGUGUAUAUACAAAUAUGCAUGAAUACUGGAUUUCAAAUUCACUUUCAGAUUGAUCACAAUCCUCGUCACUUUCUUCUGACUCACAACUAGGAAUACUCGCGGUAAACAGACGGCUUUGAGCUUGUGACUCCCUAAACUACAGACUUUUGCCUAUGUUUUUACUUGCUUACUUCAUUCUGAAUUGGCUUACUAGAUGAGGUUUGCUAGCAUUAGAGCUGAAAAUUGAGGGUUGAAAAGGCUCUGAAGCAUGUGCAAAGCCUGGUGCUCACUUUAUUCCCGUCAUGAAUAAGCUUGAUCAACUCACUUGAUUUUGCAACUAAUAGCUUUUCUUGAUCUUCGAAUUAUCUGUGUAUGGAUCUUGAUUGUUCCAUCAAUCUUUUGUUACACAUAUACUAUUGCUUCCUAUUGUUUUUUGCCCCUUGUUCCUGAAAGGAUCAGAUCUCUAGUUCUCUUUGGUUUAAAUUUGUCACUGGUAAAAAUUGAUUAAAAGUCUGUCUUUAUUUUAGAUUUUUUUACUUUAAGUUAAUAUUUACUGUUCACCUGGCAGAGGUUUUGGUUAGAUAAAUGGAGUGGGAAGAUGUGCCUCAAAAUGACAUAUGAAAUGCUCUCAAUCACACAUCUUGAAGCAGAUUACUGGACGAGAAGGUGAAAUUUUACUACUCCCUCCGUCCCAAAAUAGUUGUCACAUUUGGUUUUGUGCCGAUCAAAUUGACUAAAGUUUGACUGAAAUUUAUUAAUAUCUUAUCAAUUGACAAAAUAAAAAAAAUAUGUCACCGGAAAUAAUUUUUAAUCUACUUUAAGAUGUAAUUUUCUGUUUUUUAAAAUAAUAAGUGAUUGGCUUAUAAUCUUUGGUCAAAACUUAGUUAAUUUGACCAACAAAAAUAGAAAUGUGACAACUAUUUUGAGACGGAGGGAGUAUCAUUUUGUUUUUGGGCAAUAAUUACCUUUUGUUACUUAGAGAUCUAUAUGCAUGUGUUGUAUGAUAAGUUUUUCAUGUUGUAAUUGUUAAAAACAGCGAAUACCAGUAUCCGGUGCUAGGUCAUGUGAUUUGGCUUGAAGUGUAUGGCAAAAUACCCACUUCAAGAUUGUCACCAGAGACAGCCUAUGAAGCUUAUCUUGUGUUUAGACUCUCGGAAUACGUUUGCUAUGGACUUCACAUACCUAUAUAUAGAGGCUUCUGUUGGGAUCCCAGGGGAAGAAAUCACAAAGGAACUUAUAUAUUUGGACCCUCGAAUAGCCAAGUCCGGGAGCUUUAACCAUUAUCCAAACACAAACCCGGGGGAAGGACAUCCCUUUAUAGAAGUUAAGUUGGGUGAAUACUUUAACAAAGAAGGGGAGAACAGGGAUGUGGAAGUAACUUUGAAAGAAGUGAAAAGUGGAAGGCCAAAGUGCGGUGUCCAUAUUGCUGGGAUGAAGAUGCUACCUAAGCGCAAUAUAAACCUUUAAUAAUUGUGCUCGCUCUUGUUUGGGAUAGAGAUCUGGACGUUAAAAAUUGUUAUCUGUUCAUAUCUUUGACGCUUUGCGUAUGAUGAUGAAGAGCUGUAAUCGUUAGGCAGCUAAUCUUAGCUAAGCAGUACUACUGCAACUCUCAACAUGUUUCCCGUGUUUUAUUCUAAAUUAUUACAAUGAUAGACUUUACUCAUGAAUGCUUUACCAAGAAACAGAACUAUAUGGCCAUACCCUUCAUGAAACUCAUGUCUAUAAUGAAAGCCGGAGCCUAAAGACAGUCAAAUUAGAAAUUAAUUGCCACAUACAUAGCAACAAGUGUUUUGGUUGAACAUUUACAGGUCUGAUUGUACUAUCUAGUUCAGUUUCCUUUAUCUCUAAAUAAUUAGAGUGUUUGAACAAGUACUUCAAAUUUGAAACAGGAAUCAGAAACCAAAAGUAUGAGCCUCCUGAACCUGCAUUAGCUGCCCUUUGGUCG
Molecule: long non-coding RNA, 5917 nt
Filed under: Daucus carota (carrot)
Lineage: Eukaryota; Viridiplantae; Streptophyta; Magnoliopsida; Apiales; Apiaceae
Description: long non-coding RNA (DCAR_LNC000735)
Source: RNAcentral